This 5781-nucleotide long non-coding RNA is filed under the name Solanum tuberosum (potato). RNAcentral's name for it is "long non-coding RNA (STUB_LNC003301)". Lineage: Eukaryota; Viridiplantae; Streptophyta; Magnoliopsida; Solanales; Solanaceae. The record is from RNAcentral.
UGGUCUGCAGACCUUUGUAAAGUAUUGGUGUCUGCUAUUCCUCCUGCCUGUUUCUCUUCGCGUAGCUCAGCUAACUGAUGCUUCAGUUGUUCAUGUGGAUCUGCACAGCUUUGUAACGUAUUGGUGUCUGUAUCUACUGCUGCUUUGUUUUCUUCAGAAAUUUCAGAUGUCUGAUGGAUAAGUUCUUCUGUGGAUUCAGAUAUCUUUUCACUGUUUCUUCCAUUUGUUUCUUUUUCAACCGGAGUAUCGAGACUAUAGCUAAUAUCUAUUUCUCUGUUUUGUAGCUCAAGCUUAUCUGCAUCUGGGGUGUACUUAUUAUGAUUUUGGAACCCGAAAUCAGAGCUUUCAACCUGUUGAAUGAGCCAUUCAUGAUUUGGUUGGUAUCCAGAAAUAACUGAAAGGGUGAGGAAAUAAGAGAAAUUGCUGGAGGCUGCUAGCAUGAUGUAAUAAAACACUAUUGCAGUGGAUAUGCUGCUUCUAGCUGUGAUUCGUCUUGAGAUAAUCUGUAAGUUUUAUUCAUGUUUCUGUAAUGGUUGUAACGGUAAAGGGGGGAACAUCAAGUUCUGUUUUGCUAGCUUUUCUUUAACUUCUUUCCUGUACUGUUAUAAUUUAGUUCCAAUUUUAUAAUGCAGAAAUGUGAUUUUUUGUAGCAGAUUGCCAAUCGGCAUUUAUGUUAUACUCUGCCUGCUUAUAUGAAAUGUUUCAUGCAGUUGGCCAUACAUAAUGUUCUCACAACAACAUCUCCUCAAUCCUCUCUUUGCAGAAGGGAACGGAGACUCAAAUUAAUUAUAUUCCUCUAGAGAUUUGUGACCUUAACUAACUUGGAGUUGUGACUUAGUUGUUGUUCUGAAAAUAUCGUUCACUGGAGAAUUAAAUUUCUUGUCUCAUUAGCAUGCAAUAAACUCGUAGAUUCUUAGUAGAUGCUAAUCAGCAAAUUCAUUAUAAGUUCUUGUUCACUUACCUUGUUAGUACAGUCCUCCACCCUCAUUUCUUCUGAAGAAAGUUCAGUUACGUUCUCUGCUCCAUGGGAGUCAUUAGCCUCUUCUGUGGUUAGAUUGGCUUGCUGACCAUUCUGCAGAAAAAAAAGAGAGCAAUCCAGUGAUGAAGAAAGAGAGAAAGCAGCAUUUCUAUUUUACCUUGGGCUUAGGUAUAUGAAUUGUAAACAGGCUUGUGUGGUCACUUAACCUCUUGAUUGGGGAUUUCUGAAACCACUUUGCUUUCUUCAAAGUUAUUUGCCGCCAUCUCUUCUUUGGCGGAUGUUAGAAGUUCAUCUAGAGUCGUUUCUUCUUUUUGUAGGGCAUUAUUGUUUGACUCAUCACCAGCAUUGAUAUCUUUAAGUUCUUUUAUCUGUUUGUAGAGAUAGUUUUUUUUUUUUUGGUCAAAUGAAAGAUUAUAGUGACAGAUUUUAUUAUGAUUUAUGACUAGUUUAGGCACAUGAAAAAAUAUCAUACUAUUAAUAGAAGGCAGACAUUUAAUACCUCAGUUUCAACUUCUUUGCAAGGUUGUGCUGUUUCUUUGACAAACCGUUCUGCCUGUUUUCCAAUCAAAGCUUCUUCUUUCUCUACAUUAUGUGUUUCAGAUUCAUCAAUUCUUUCAGUGGCAGCUUCUGUCUCUUCCCUGUUUUGUUUUUUGGGUUCUUCAAUUGGUGGUUCUUUAGGUUUCUCUUCAAUUAUUGGUUCUUCAAGUUUCUCUUUACCUGCUAGUUCUUCAGGUAUCUCAUUAACUGUUGGUUCUUCAAAGUUCUCAACUGCUGAUUCCUCAGGUUUCUCCUCAACUGAUGGUUCUUCAUGUUUUUCAUCAACUGUAGCUUCUUCAGGUUUCACCUCAACUGUUGGUUCCUCAAGUUUUUGGUCAACUACUUGUUCUUCAGUUGCUAGUUCUUCAGGUUUCUUUUCAACUGCUAGCUCUUCACGUGUCUCUUUAACCACUGGUUCUUCAGGUGUUUCUUUCACCUCUGGUUCUUGAGAUUGCUCCUCAAUCACUGAUUCUUGGGGUUUCUCUUCACUUUUUGGUUUGGGUGUUACUUCAACUGCUGGUUCUUCAGGUUUUCCUUCAACUGCUAGUUCUUCAGGUUUUUCAUCAAUUGUUGGUUCUUCAAGUUUCUCUUGAACUGUUGGUUCUUUUGGUUUCUCUUGAACUUCUGGUUCUUGAGGUUUCUCUUCAAUCAUUGGUUGUUCAGGUGUUUCUUUCGCCACAGGUUCUUCUAGUGUCCCUUCAAUCACUGGUUCGUCGGAUUUCUCCUCAACCGCUGGUUCUUUGGGUUUCUCCUCAACUUUUGAUUCUUCAAGUUUCUCCCUAACAACUGGUUCUUCUGGUUUCUGUUCAACUGUCGGUUCCACUGGUUUCUCUUCAACUGCUGAAUCUUCAGGCGUUUCCUCAACUUCAAUGGUAUUGCAUGAAAUUUCUUGAGGUUUCUCGUCAACUAGUUGUUCAGGUGUCCCUUCAACUGCUGGUUUGUCAGGUUUCUCUGGUUCUUCGAGUUUCUCCUCAAUUUUUGGUUCUUCGGGUUUCUCCUCGAUGUCAAAUUCUUCCCGUUUCUCUUCAACUGUCGAUUCCUUGAGUUUCUCUUCAACUGCUGAAUCUUCGGGUUUUUCCUCAAUUUCAGCAAAAUCAUUGUUGGUAUUGCAUGAAAUUUCAUUGCCAGUCUUAUCAUUUGAGUCCACAACAUGCUUAUUCUGCUAGAAGAAAGUUUCACUUAAUUUUUCAAUAGAUAAGCAGAUGUGAAUUCAUUGCACAUACAUAACUAUUAGGAUGGACAACUUUGUGACAGUGUUUGAUCCUCACCUUUUCGAGGGGCGUUACCUUUUCAGCUGCUGCUUUCUCUAGUUUCUCUUCAACAACUACUUCUUCAUGUUUCUCUUCAGCUACUUGUUUGUCAGGUGUUUCUUCCCGUGCUGGUUUAUCAACUGUUUCUUCCCCUGCAACUGGUUCGUCAAGCUUCUCUUCAACUACUAAUUUUUCAGGUGUUUCCUCAACCAUUAGUUCUUCGAAUUUCUCCGAUACAACUGGUUCUUUAGGUUUCUCUUUCAGUGCAGGUUCCUCAUAUUUUUUUUCUAUUACUGUUUCUUCAUGUUUUUCCUCAACAGCUGGAUAGUCAGAAACAUCACUGUUGUCGUUGCACAGAAUUUCACCAUUAAUCUUGUCUGUUGAGUGACUUGAGUCCGUAUCUGGCAUAUUCUACAAGAAGAAUUUAAAGAUUCACUAAGACUUUUAAUAGAUAAGUAGAUGCAAAUUCCUUGCAUGUAUAGAGCUAAUAGGAUGGUAAACUCUGCGACAGUGCUCGAUUACCUUUUCCAAGAGAGUCACCGUUUCAACUGCUUGUUUUUCAGAUUUCUGUUCAAUAGCUAGUUCUUCCGGUGUCUCUUCAACUGCUGGUUUGUUGGGAUUCUCUUCAACUAUUAGGUCUUCAGGUGUUUCCGCUCUUGCUUGCUCUACAAGUGUUUCUUCAAUUGCCAAUUUUUGAAGUUUCUCAUUUAUUACUGGUUCUUCAGGUUUAUCCUCAACAAUUGGUUCCUCAUGUUUUUCCUCAACCAUUGGUUCUUCAGUUUUUUCCUCAACUGCUGGAUAGUCAGCAACAUCAAUGUUGGUAAUGCAUGGAGUUUCAGUGUCAGUCUUCCCUUUUGAAUCUAUAGCUGACAUAUCCUGCAAGAAAAAUUUAAAGUUUUACUUAGUCUUCCAAUAGAUAAACAUAUGUGAAUUGUUGCACAUACAUAACUAAUAGUACAGUUAAAGCUUGUGAUUGUACUUGAUCCUUACCUCUUCCAACAAAGUUACCUUUUCAGGUUUCUCUUCGAUUACUAGUUUUUCAAGGUUCUUUUCAUCUGCUAGAUCUUCAGGUGUUUCUUCAACUACAGGUUCUUCAGAUUUCUCUUCAACUGUUGGUUCUUCAAGUUUCUCCUCGAAAACUUGUUCUUCAGUUUUUUUUUCCACAGCCGGUUCUUCAGGUUUCUCUGUCACUGCUGGUUCAUCAGUUUUUUCAUUAACCGCUGGUUCUUCACGUUUCUCUUCAAUCACUUGUUUUUCAUGUUUUUCUUUAACUACCUGUACUUCAGCUUUAUCUUCAACUGUUGGAUAGUAAGCAACAUCGUUGUUUGAAUUGCCUAGAAUUUCACUGUCAAUCUUGUCCUUUGAGUCUACAAUUGGCAUAUUCUGCAAGAGAAGUUCAAAAAUUCGAUUUAAUCUUCCAAUAGAUUGGCAUAUGUGAGUUCGUUGCACAUAUAAAGCUAUUAGAAUGGAUAAACUUUGUGACAUUGUUUAUCCUCACCUUCUCUAGGAGAGUUUCCAUUUCUGGUUUCUCCUCUUCAAUUGCUGGUUUGUCAUGUUUCUCUUCAACAGCUAUCUCUUCAGAGGUCUCUUCAACCAUUGGUUCUUCAGGUUUCUCUUCAAGUGGUAGUUCAGGUGUUUCCUCCCCUGCUAGCUCUUCAGGUGUUUCUUUAGUUGUUGGUUCUUCAAGUUUCUCUUCAACAGUUGGUUCUUUAGGUUUCUCCUCAACUGGUUCUUCAGAUUUCUCCUCAAUUGUUGGUUCUUCAGGUUUCUCCAUAAUUGCUGGUAUAUCAAGUUUCUCUUCAAUAACCGGUUUUUCCACAGCUGCUGGUUUUUCAGGGUUUUUCUCAUCUUCUAGAAAGUGAGCAGCAUUGUUGCUAGUAUUGCAGGGAAUUUUAUUGUCAGUUUUUUCCUUCGAGUCUGCAACUAGCAAAUUCUGUAAGAAGAAUUUAAAGUUUCACUUAGUCUUUCAGUAGAUAAGCAGAUGUAAAUUGUUGUACAUACAUAACUAAUAGGACAGAUAAACUUUAUGACAGUGCUUGACCCUUGCCUUAUCCAAAAGAGUUACCUUUUCUGGUUUCUCCUCUUCACCUGUUGGUUCUUCAGGUUUCACCUCUUCAACUGCUGGCUCUUCAGGUUUUUCUUCACAUGCUAGUUCAUUAGGUGUUUCUUCCCGUGUUGAUUCUUUGGGUGUCUCUUCAGUUAUUGUCUUUUCAGGUUUCUCUUCAACCUUUGGUUCUUCAAGUUUCUCCUCUGCCAAUGGUUCUUCAAAUUUCUCCUCCACAGUUGGUUUUUCACGUUCUUCUUCAACUGCCAGUUCUUCAAGUUUUUUCUCAACCGCUGGUUCUUCAGGCUUCUCCAUAACAGCCAAUACUUCAGAUUUUUCUUCAAUCAUUGUUUCAUCAUUAUCUUUUUCAACUACUAGUUCUUGAGGUUUUUCCUCGACUGAUUCAUAGUCAGCAAUAUCAUUGUUGGUAUUGCAAGGAAUUGCAUUAUCUAUCUUGUCCUUUGGGUCUUCCAUUGGAAAAUUCUGCAAGAAAUUUAGAGUUCUACUUAGUAUUUAAAUAGAUAAACAUAUGUAAAUUCGUUGCACAUAUAAAGCCUAAUUUGAUGAAUAAACUUUGUGACAAUGUUUAAUCCUGACCUUCUCUAGAAGAGCUUCUGUUUCAGGUUUCUCCUCUUCAACAAUUAGUUCUUUAGGUGUCUUUUCAACCGUUGGUUCUUCAGUUUUCUCUUCAAGUGCUAAUUCUUCAGGUGUUUCCUCCCCUUCUAGCUCUUCAGGUGUUUCUUCAGCCGCUGGUUCUUGAGGUUCCUCCUCAACCACUGGUUCUUCAGGUUUCUCCUUAACCGCUGGUACAUCAAGUUUCUCUUCAAUAGUUGGUUCUUCAGGUUUUUCUUCAACUACUGACUCUUCAAGAUUUUCCUCAACUUGUGGAGGGUGAGCAACAUCAUUAUUGGUAUUGCAUGGAGUUUCACUGCCAGUUUUGUCGUUUGAGUCUACAACUAGCAUAUUCUGCG